Peromyscus maniculatus bairdii (prairie deer mouse) is the source of this 5426-nucleotide non-coding RNA. The record is from RefSeq and is a predicted model, not a curated record. Lineage: Eukaryota; Metazoa; Chordata; Mammalia; Rodentia; Cricetidae.
UACACGCAUGUGCCUGUGUGCCUGUAGAGGCCAGAGGUCCAUGUUGGUUCUCUUCUUCUGUGGCUUGUCACCUUGUCUUCUGAGACAGGGUCUCUCAGUGAACUGGAACCCCGUGUACUUGGCAGGAAUAGGCGACCAGGAAACCUCAGGGAUCCUCCUGUCUCUGCACCCCCAGUGCUGGGGUUACAGGUGCACACCAGCACUCCUGAUCCAUGGACUGGGGCUGUGGAUUCGAACUGAGGGCCUCGUGCUUUUCCAGUAAGCAGCUUGCUGACUGAGCCAUCUCCCUAGCCCUCCACUGCCACAACUCCUUACAGGUUUUGUUUUGUGAUGCUAAGGAUAACGCUAAGCUGGUUAUCUUCUCCCCCUAACUGGGGUUUGGGGGAGCCAAGAGUUAGGGUUAUCGGUCCAGGAAACAGCAUCUUUCUUGGAGACCUCCAAGUGGAGAGCAAAGGUAGCCAAACAACGGAGGUGGGAAAUUGCUUCAUUUCUGGCCUGAAGCCCUCCUGGAAGUUUUUGUAACAGGACCCAAGGUAGUCCCAUUCCUUCCUGCUAGGAAGACCUCCAGGAUUCAGAGGGCUAAACUCUGCAGCAGGCCAAAAUUGUGAUGAGAUUUGGCUGAGACCCUCAAGGUUAGUGUUAGGGAAGAGCUUUCCCAUUAUGGAAAUGCUUUCUCUUUUGCCAAGAUUCUCCAGCAUUUGUGUUAUAAUUGCCUUUCCAUUCUGUGAGGACUUCAGCUCUUUUUGGAGAUCAGUGUGAUCCCUCCCAGUCAUCUGCACUUGGUGCGUUUCUCCAGCUUGGUCUGAGAGAGAGGCGAGAAAUAGAUGUUUUGUUUGUUUUUGUAUAUUCUACAACAGAAGGGCUCACCCAGCCAGGAAUCCUGUAUCUGACAAAGCUGGGUAUCUGGGAAUGGUGGUAUGUGCCUGUGUUCCACGUAUUGAGGAGGCUGAGGCAGAAGGAUCAGAGUUUGAGGGCAACUCAGGCUAGUUAACAAGACCUAUUUUAAAAAACAAAAAUGCACAAACAAAGAAAUGAGGGAUAAAUUAUGACAUUCUUAUGGAUUUUUAAGAAAUCCGAGGGAUUUGUUACCCCAAGCCUACCCUGUAGGAGGUUCUGGCAGGAGUGUUGAGUAUUUGGACAAAAUGAAAGAAUACUGGAUAAUAACCAGAUAAAGAAAUACAGGUCACUCUAGACACAGGGCAUGAGCAUUACUGUAACAAGUUUGUAAUCCUACUUGGUUUUCUACAUGAUUUAAAAAGCUCAUAUUGUUUAAUUUUAAUUUGUAAAUCCAUAGUUUGUUUUCUGUAUAGUUUGAAAGCUAACUCAUUUAAAGAAUUUAGUUUACUUAUAGGGCACACAGUAUCUAAAGACUUAACUUACUGAUGUAAACGAUGGAAAGGGGCAGCUGCAGAGUUACAGAAGCAAAAGUUUUCAUGAUACUGAUUUUUAUAUAGAUACAUGUAACACUCUGCCAAACGAAGACUAUACCCUUCCAUGUUUUCCUCAAGUGCACAUGGACAUUUUCUAGAAGGGGCCACUGUUAACUCUCAAAUUAAUCUCAGUAGAUUUGGAAGGAAUAUUUUAUAAAGUAUCUUCUAUGAACAUCCCAGGAUGAAAUUAAAAAUAGAAGUGAAAAACCAAUAGUAAAACCAACAAGUUUACGGAAUUGUGGAAAGUAGACAAUAUACUUUUAAAUAAUAAGUAGAUGUGGUGGUUUGAAUAAGAAUGGCCCCCAUAGGCUCAUAGAUUUGAAUGCUUGGUCACCCAGGAAUGGCACUACUUGAAAGGAUUAGGAGGUGUGGCCUUGUUGGAGGAAGUGUGUCACUGGGAGCGGGCUUGGAGGUUUCAGAAGCCCAAGCCAGUCCCAGUGUCUCUCUCUUCCUGUUGUCUGUGGCUCUGGAUGCAAAACUCCCAGGUCCUCCAGCACCACAUCUACCUGCAUGCUACAAUGCUCCCCACCAUGAUGAUAAUGGACUAAACCUCUGAAACUGUAUGCGAGUCCCAAUUAAAUGCUUUCUUUUAUAAGAGUUGCUGUGGUCAUGGUGUCUCUUCACAGCAGUAGAAAGAAACCUAAGACAGUAGAUUAAAAAUCAAGAAGUAUUUAGAGACAAAAUUAAAAUACAACAUUGGAUCAAUAGAAGUACUGAUCAGUUGGACAUUUAUGGCUAGCUGUAUAUAUUCGUUUUAAAACACAGGAGGAUUUCAAGUCAACAGCUGAUCUUUUUGUUUGCUUGCUUUUUGGAGACAGGGUUUCUCUACAUAGUCCUGACUGUCCUGGAUCUUACUAUAUAGACUAGUCUACCCUGAGCUCACAGAAAUCCACCUGCUUCUGCUUCCUGAUUAAUGGGCUUAAUAGGCUAUUUUUAUACCUAAGAAACAAUUAGAUGAAGAAAAACAAAUAAACCCAAAGCUAGCAGAACCAGGGAAACAAUAAAGAUUAGAAGAAAUAAGUGAAAUGGACUAGAAACAGUACCUUUUUUUUUUUUUUUUAAUGAUAACAACAUUGACAAAGCUUUAGAUAGAUGAACUAAGGAAGAAAGAUCAUUGAAAUUAGAAAGGGAAAUGGGGACAUUGUUACCAAUUUUAGAAGUAAAAAGGGUAGUAAGAGAGUACUGUGAACCCGUUUGACAACAGGUAAGAUAACCUAGAGGGAUUGAAGGAUUCCUAUGAGGACUAACUCACAAAGAAGAAGAAAAUCUGACCAGAGAUGCUUAUUGCCACCAUUUAACACCAGUUGGGGUUGUUGCCAGAGUAAUUAGACAAGAAAAGCAAAUAAAUAAACCUAUAGAAAGAGAAGAAGCCAAAGUAUGUAUUUGCUAAUUAUAAGAUCUUACGUACAGAAUCUUAUAAAGAUUACACAAAAGCUGUUAGAACUAAUCUGAUUCAGCAAAGUAACAGUACAAAUCUGUCUUAGUUAGGGUUUCUAUUGCUGUAAUGAAACAUCAUUACCAAAAAGCAACUUGAUAGGAAAAGGGCUUAUUAGGCUUUCACUUCAGCAUUGCUACUGAUCACUGAAGGAAGUCAGGACAGGAAUUCAAACAGGGCAGGAGACUGGAGGCAGGAGCUAAUGCAGAGGCCGUGGACGGUGCUGUUUACUGACUUGUUUCCCAUGGUUUGCUUGACCUGCUUUCUUAUAGAACCCAGGACCAGCAGCCCAGGGAUGGCAGCACUCACCAUGGGCUGGGCCCUCCCCCAUUGAUCACUAAAUGAGAAAAUACCUUACAGCUGGAUCUCAUGGAGCUUUUCCUCAGCUAAGACCCCUUCCUCUGAUGACUCUAGUUUGGGGCAAGUUGACACAGAACCAUUCAGUACAAAGUCAGUUAUGUCUCAGAUACUAACAAUAUCCAGUUGUCCUGAUUAGUUUUUUGUCAACUUGAUAGGAGCUGGAAUCAUUUGGAAGAGGAAACACCAUGAGAAAAUGCCCCCAAAGAUUGGCCUGUAGGUUUUUCCUCCAGGUUCCUGCCUUAAGUUCCUGCCCUGACUCUUUUUGUGAUGGACUGAUCGGGACAUGCAAGCUAACACAAACCUCCUCUCCCCGAGUUGCUUUUGGUUGUGGUGUUUUCCUGCAGCAAGAGAAGCCCUAACUGAGACACCAGUCUAAGGAAGAAAUUGUGCAAUCAAUUCCAUUUAGAGUAUAUUCAGAAGGAGGAAAAUAUUUAGUAAAUAUUUAGCCAAAAAAGACUUGUGUGAUGAGAACUAUACUUAGAAUUAGCAGAUGGACUCAGUCGAAAUGAUUCUGGUUUUGUUUAACAUCCAGAGCAUCAGAAUCAGGAGCCAGCCUCACACACACACCUUCCUCUCUCCAUCAGGACUGACGUUGAUGUCAUCAGUGUCACAGAAUUUCUUCACAGCCUCUUUGCUCUGGUGCCUGUUGGCCUUGCCGUCCCAUCGGGCACACCUGACUUGUCGCCUGUCUCUUCAGGGCUGACUCAGUGGUCAGGGGACACGUGCUGACAGCACACUGGUCAGCCUUGUUGCUCCUGGAAAUGCUCUUGAGAAGGUUUUUGAGCCACUUCAAGAGCCUCGGGGUCUUGGGCUGGGAGGUGGGUGACUAAGGGAUCUUCUUUCGUGCUUGGUUGUGGACGCCGCUCAGCACUCACUGCCUUCUCUGUUUUCAGAGCCUGUGCUUGGGCUUUGGCCAUGGGAGGGCAGGAGCCCUUCUUCACUUUCAGCUCCAUCUUGGCAAAAGCUAGAAUGUGAUUUCGAUUCAUUCGGAUGAUUUUAUUCUAUUUCUCUGUCCCAUGUUUAUCACAAUAAGCUACAUCAUCGUCAUUUUUAAAGUCUCUUAAGCAUCAGGCUUCCAAUGUUUAUUUAGAUUGUCUAAUGAUGCACCAAAUGAACCCCAAAUGGACUACAUAUACGCCAAGUAUUUUGUCUCCCAGAAAACAAGGAACGAGAGAGAAUGCAUAGAAAGUUCUUGAACCCUGAGGCAUUAAAGGAAAACUGAAAGGAAUUUUUAUGACCACAUUAAAGAAACAUGUGACAAAUACUUAUAACAAAUAAGAAAGGCGACAAGCUAAUAAUAGCUUUAUGAUACAAAGAGUUACCAUCUGCUAUAGGAAUGAAGGGGAACUGAGUGUAGAAUUCACGAGCACAUUCAAGUAAGGAUGAGAAUGUAGUUCAUGAUAGUAACACAUUUUAAAAUCCUUGUUGUAAGAAUAGAAUAUUCAGUGUGUACCAAGUUGUUAGCCAGACAUUAAGUCCAAAAACUGAAGUUCUGCAUCCACUAGCCAAAAUAAGUUCAGAUGGACAAAACAUUUAAAUUGGAAUUCUAAACAGAAUGAUACUGUAGGUGAGUGUAGACGUGGGAAUUAGGCAGCCUGAGUUUGUCCCGCCUCUCUCUGACUCCCUGGCCAUGUGGCCUUGGGCAGGUUAGUUAACCACUUCAUGCCUCAGUUCAUGAGACAAGGAUGAAGCGGCAGCCGCCUCACAGGAGGGACGUUGUGAGGAUCAAAUGUGUUAGUACACGUGAUGGGUGUGGCCUGGUGCCUGGUGCAUGCAAGUACAUUUAAAAAUAGCUGUCACUAUUGUCAAGCAGGUAAAACUGUAAAAGCAUUAAAGGAAAAUUUGGUAGAUAUUUUUAUGAGCUUGGGAGUGGGGGGAAGACUUAUAAUCAUGACAUCAUAGAAGAUGAAGAGAUUUAUCAUUUAAAACUUCUGCACAUGGGGAAGUACUUCUGAUCAGUGAGUGAAGUGUGGGGUCACCAACCAUGGGGGGACAGGCUAUGAGGGUGACAUUGUUUUGUGACUUCCUGCACUGAAGCCAAGCCUGGCCAGGUGAGUACCUGGGAAGAGCUUAUUUGAAUGUUUUACACAUUUUCUUGGUUCUUCUUAGAGCUGCUGUAACAAAUUUCAACAAACUUGGUGUCUUCUGUGGAAGUUUCUUCUUGUCGUUGUAGUUCAGCUCUGGAAUCCAGAAGUCCAGAA